This 464-nucleotide ribosomal RNA is filed under the name uncultured bacterium. Its description in RNAcentral is "bacterial SSU rRNA". It matches the Rfam family "Bacterial small subunit ribosomal RNA", at positions 917 to 1382 of the family's 1533-position model. The record is from RNAcentral.
GGGCCCGCACAAGCGGUGGAGCAUGUGGUUCAAUUCGACGCAACGCGAAGAACCUUACCCAGGCUUGAACAGCGAGUGACCAUUCCCGAAAGGGAACUUCCGCAAGGACACUCGUAGAGGUGCUGCAUGGCUGUCGUCAGCUCGUGUCGUGAGAUGUUGGGUUAAGUCCCGCAACGAGCGCAACCCUUGUCUGCUGUUGCCAUCACGUUAUGGUGGGCACUCUGCAGAGACUGCCGGUGAUAAACCGGAGGAAGGUGGGGAUGACGUCAAGUCAGCAUGGCCUUUAUGUCUGGGGCUACACACGUGCUACAAUGGCCGAUACAAACCGUCGCAAAACCGUAAGGUCGAGCUAAUCGGAGAAAGUCGGUCUCAGUUCGGAUUGCAGGCUGCAACUCGCCUGCAUGAAGUUGGAAUCGCUAGUAAUCGCGGAUCAGCACGCCGCGGUGAAUACGUUCCCGGGCCUU